CACCACCUUAACGGAAUUUGACCUUAUGUCUCCGUGCUCUCCUGGCCACUACCCACUAGUCCCACAGUGAGACAUCAGCAGUAGAUCUGCCUGCCCCCUUAUAGGGGACCCCCUGUUCGUCUCUAAAAACACACAGGAAGUCGGGCACCCGCCGCCAAAAGUCGAGACGAGCUUGCCUCGGACAGGACGAGCUCGGAUCGGACGGGACGAGCUCGGAUCGGACGGGACGAGCUCGGACAGGACGAGCUCGGAUCGGACGAGCCAGACGGCCGCUCCCGCUUCGUUGCGGAACUGUCUAAUCGGGUCAUUUCGGUGUGGUACAACGUCCUGUUGAUGUUCAUUUUUGUUUGCCAACGUUUGCUUCGUCCUCUGUCCCAUGCCAUGUCACCCUUUGACCGAAGGUUCCUAGACACCAACCGCUAGUCCACUGGAACCUCAACGGCCAGCAAUGAGACAACUGAUGGCAAAUCUUCACCAUUACAGAUGUAUGUACGUAUGUUUGUGAGCUGCUCUUAUAGCGGGAGUGUGUGAGCAAAAUACAUGGGGCAGAUUUGGGGAUAUCGGUUGUCCUACCUGAGAGGGUGCUCCAGCACACAGCAUUCCCAGUUAGGGGGAGUAAGGAAGGAAUGACGGACAGACGGUCGGAAAGAUAGACAGUUGAGGACGAGGAAGCUUUUUUUCUUCUGGCAGACGGCUCCUGAGGACAUGGCACGGAAAACCUAUUUUCAGCGUGUGCUGGGUUCACUGUGUAAAGAGGGCAGGGGCCAGGCCUCUGUUGGGGUAUUUCUGCAAUUGUUACCAGAAGAGAAAUAUUGCGUUGGCAUUACCGAGUGCCAAAGAGUGGAAAAUUGUAUAUGUAUUAAUGCAAGAUAUACUGCAAUUAGGAGUAUAUAUAUUUAGAUUCAGACAAGCUAAUUGCAAAGAUGUCGUUUUUUUAUGUUUUCAUUGCAUUAUUUGGUCUUUGUAUACACAUUUGAGGUUAUGUCUUCACAUUGCAAAACGGACUGCUAUUGAAAUGUCCUUACCUUUUGUACUUUUUUUGUUACUUACAAUUAUUAGGACAUCUGCUUUUCCUUUCCCCACAUUUGCACUUUCCUUUCCAAGGGAGAAUUGUGCCCUUUCGUACCAACUACAUCUUAACCACACUGUGCUCUUCUUUAAAACACACUUUGAAGUUCUGCAUGGGGGGAGGGGGGAUACAUAUUAGCCUGUUUGUGUUGAAAUCAUGUUGAAUGUCAGUUCAAAUAUUAAUAAGCACAGGAUGAACACGAACGAUGCAAAGAGAAACAUUUGUUUAUCAAAAUGGUAAAAGGAUUGAAAUGAUGGACAGGCUUGUGUUGACGUUGCCAAAAUCUGACCUUGGACACAAGGUGUCUCUCAAAAGAUUGACCGUGUCUGAUGAUGGAUUGGAUGAAUAUACUGGUGUUUUGAGAGAUUUGUACUAAAACCCUGAGCAAAACCAUGAGAAUGCUCUGGCGGGCAUGUACCAGGGUUCAAACACAAUGCGCCUGGAGAUAAAAUGAUCUGAACUUCCUGUUUACAUUUGACACCCUUCACCAAGUCUGUAGACGAGAUGGAAGCCCUCUGUAGCCUAGGUCCACUUGUAUUCGAAAGCAGUUUGAAAUUUAUAUUUUCUGGGCUACAAGUAAGUCGAAUGAAGGGAGAUGCAAGGCCAAAUGUAUGCUUGUUGCUAGUUAAUGGAAAGGUCUGGAUUGUUCUGCUUUUGGUACAUAGUCGUGUGUGUGUGUGUGUGUGUGUGUGUGUGUGUGUGUGUGUGUGUGUGUGUGUGUGUGUGUGUGUGUGUGUGUGUGUGUGUGUGUGUGUGUGUGUGUGUGUGAUGUCUAUGCAAACAUA
Long non-coding RNA from Gadus macrocephalus (Pacific cod), 1854 nucleotides. RefSeq lists it as uncharacterized. The record is from RefSeq and is a predicted model, not a curated record. The transcript is spliced from 2 exons. Lineage: Eukaryota; Metazoa; Chordata; Actinopteri; Gadiformes; Gadidae.